GUACGCUAUUCAGAGUUUGAUCCUGGCUCAGGAUGAACGCUGGCGGCGUGCUUAACACAUGCAAGUCGAACGGUGAAAGCGGAGCUUGCUCUGCUGGAUCAGUGGCGAACGGGUGAGUAACACGUGAGCAAUCUGCCCUUGACUCUGGGAUAAGCGUUGGAAACGACGUCUAAUACCGGAUACGAGCUGCGAAGGCAUCUUCAGCAGCUGGAAAGAACUUCGGUCAAGGAUGAGCUCGCGGCCUAUCAGCUAGUUGGUGAGGUAAUGGCUCACCAAGGCGUCGACGGGUAGCCGGCCUGAGAGGGUGACCGGCCACACUGGGACUGAGACACGGCCCAG
Molecule: ribosomal RNA, 339 nt
Filed under: uncultured bacterium
Lineage: Bacteria
Description: bacterial SSU rRNA
Rfam family: Bacterial small subunit ribosomal RNA
Source: RNAcentral